AUUGUAGGCUCCAAUGUACACACAUGAUUUCAGGGAUUGUGCGUGUAUGAUAUGAGUUGUUUAUUUCGGCAUUAUAAAGAAAAACAUUUACAAACAUGGCAACUCUGCCAUGUUGAUCUGAGCCUUACUGUUGAAAAAACACAUUUGUGUCCGUCUUUCAGCUGUCGCAGACGCACCUCCCCCGACUUCACUCAUGGGCUUUCGUCUACUACUGUCUGUUCCUUAAAAGCACUUCGUCCCACGAUAUAUGAGGGAGUACCAUACGAUGUUGCACAGGUGUGUGUGUAUCCCAGCCUAGCCGCUACUACUCUUCACUGAGUGGGUCCGGGAUGGCCCGAGGGGUUGGCUGUUAUCUUUGGUUAUCUAGCUGUAUGAGUGGUGUACAUUCUUCAUAAAGCUAGAUAACCGAAAGUAACAAGAAUCCCAUUACGCUCCUGCGCGGCCGGUCUCUUGUGCCAACCAAAAAAACACGAAAUGGGCGACGCUCGCGAGGAAGUAACUGUCGUUUGUGCCCAGCCGACCAAUCAGAAGACUUAAAGGUUUUUUUGUCAUCUCCAAAUCCUCCUGGUGUUUGAGUCUCUUCACAUGACCCAUUUCUAAGGUGACCCAUCACAUUGAAGUUAUGUCACAGCCAGUCCACCACCUUCCGACGGCCACCCCACCUCACCAAUGGUGAGGUCCAUUUCCGAACGUAGUGGUGCCCACCUGACCUAAAUGGAACCGGAUUGGCUCCUCUUCCAUUUUUCUCUGCCCCAGUAUUUAAACCUGAAGCCCUUUGUGGACGUUGAACGAUCUCCUUUUGGUUGGGGUGAACUUUAGGCACAUGCCUGGACAUGCCUGACAAACUGAAAAUGGGGUAAUGUACUGUUGGGUCAUGGAUACCAGUGGAUACCCAACCACAGCUGCCUCUGUGGGCUUCAUCCCCAGACCGUCUUUGGAUACACCAAUCAAAGGACAAGUUGAAAUGGACCACUGUGAACUAGUGUGUCUCUGUCCUCCUACAACUAACUGACUGGAUACAUGGACAGAAAUGGAGGGUGUGAGAUGUGUGUGUUCUGUGUUGUGAUGGUACACUGUCUUCUCUGAGACGACUCUACACACAGCUGUGUCCGUCACAUCUGCAAUACAUUCGACACGGGUCAGCAUGCUGAUCUGUUCAUGUGUGCUGUGCUUGUUUGUGUAUAUGUGCUUGUUUGUCUAAGCGCAUACACUUUGAGUCACCCUCACUCAGAGCAAGUUCUGUUCUGGGAUUGUAAGCAACACACGCACACACAUCACAAAUCAUAGUAAAUGUCUUUUAACCUCCUUAUGGUUAACGGACAUAGGAUUUAUCAUGUGCUUAUGCUACCUGGCAAAAAUAAUAUUUGCAACUGGAGGAGGUUGUAUGGUUUAGUAGUAGAAUCGCACUGCAGCACUGAUUUUAUUAUCAAGGGGAGGAUACAACUGGUAAAUAAGUAUCUUAUAUUGGACAGCCCACAUAGUAUUCAGAUCAUUUAUGUAUAGAUAGAACACGUACAAUUAAUUAAAAUAAAACAUAGAAAUGUGCUAAUUGAGUGAUUUAAACAAUUGUAGUAUAGAAAUCAGAGUAGGACGAUAAUUUAUGUGUUAUUUAGUUUACAUAAUGGAUAUGAAUACUAGUUUAGUUAGAAUUUCUCAAAUUAUUUUCAAAAUGUGAAAAUGUGUGUAUUUUUUGUUGUUGUGUAUAUUAUUUCUAUGCAUCUUUUGAAACCUAUGCAAAUGAAUCCACAAAGUAGAUAUUUUAGAAUUUGCUAAUGACGAUCAUUCAAUUUCUCAGAGGGUUUAGAUUUUUCCCCAGACAAUCUGUUGUAUACUGUAGGGUGAUGUGAGAGAUUAGAAAUGAAAGUGCAAUACAGGAACGUUUCUGAGCCCUGCUCCAGACAGCAAAAUAUGUUGGGAUUUUACAGCGUUUUUCUCAACUGAUUUGGAUUUUUAGAUAUUUUUUAGAAGUGUAUCAAUAUCAAAAUAUAAACAUUGGAAUGUUUAAUUUGCUUAACUGUCUGAGUCUUAAAUUAACGGAUUGACUAGAAAGUUGCAUAUACAGUUUUCCAAACAAUUAUUUUGGGAUUUCAUGUGAACAUUUUUACUCUAUGCAACUUUUAUACUUUGUAACUUUUUGUAAUAAAUAAUAUGACUAUCAUUCGGAGCAACUGCAAUUCAUAUUUGUUUCACUGUUUAAGACUUCAUUUGAGAAACUAUGCAAUGGCUGUAUACUAAAUGUGUUUGAUAGUGUGAUGUACUGUACGGUUUUACAACAAUGUGUACUCUACAUGAACAACAAAUGUGUACUCUUUGAGCAUAGUAUGUAAUAGCCUGUAAAUAUACUGUACGUUAUCAAGACCGCACUAUAUGUAGUUGGUUAUGGGCAAUUUGUUGUGGGGAAUGUGCAAUCAGAGUGCAUGUGUGCACUACAUGAGUUUAAACUGUAAACAGUCAGGGUGAAGUGUGUGUAGAAUGAUGCAUCAUGUAGAAAGCAAGAGUACAAUAGAUGGAAUGUGUGCAAUGUGUGUGGAGGCAUGCACUACGCUGAGGGUGAGUGCAAUGUUUUAAUGACAAUGUUGGAUUUUAAAGAGAUGUUUGCAUGAGUGCACUAUGGCCCACAAGAUCAUAGACUAUGUUAGGCAUGUUUGCAAAUGACCUGUGAAUCCUGACUGUAGGGGACUGACUCGUUCUUGUACCAUGGACUCUGUACGAUUAAGUCAACACAAUAAAUGUUUACAUUUAAAAAAAAUAAAAACACAUGUCUGUCUGGAA
Molecule: long non-coding RNA, 2772 nt
Filed under: Salmo salar (Atlantic salmon)
Lineage: Eukaryota; Metazoa; Chordata; Actinopteri; Salmoniformes; Salmonidae
Description: lncRNA (ENSSSAG00000004574.2)
Rfam family: mir-9/mir-79 microRNA precursor family (bases 344-421)
Source: RNAcentral